AUUUUGCUCACCUUCAGCACUUACAAUGCAGUUUUCAUCUGUUAACAGGGAGUGUGAAGUCUCUCAUAAGCCUGCCCUGCUUCAUGUCUCAUGCUAGCAUACCAGCUGAAAAAGUUUUAUUGCAGAAAUUGGGCUAAACCUUAUAUUAAAGAUGCUAAAGAAGUUUCCAGGUAUAUUGAGAUGAUUUCUUUGGAGCAAUUCUUGACAACAUUUGUAGUUAAGGCCUUUAGAAUGGAAGAAUGUAUUUCACUAAUUUUUGUAUACAUUUCUUGUUUUGUAUUUAGUGAUAAAGGAAUUUGAAUUGGGCAUAAAUUAUGUUGUAAUAUGAUUUCUUAAGCCUAGACUAGUAGACUAAAUAUUGUAAUUACAUUUGAGUAAUUAAUAAAAAUCUAUUUAUGUUACCUUAUUUGGCUUCA
Long non-coding RNA from Humulus lupulus (European hop), 416 nucleotides. RefSeq lists it as uncharacterized. The record is from RefSeq and is a predicted model, not a curated record. Lineage: Eukaryota; Viridiplantae; Streptophyta; Magnoliopsida; Rosales; Cannabaceae. The transcript has 3 exons.